This 301-nucleotide ribosomal RNA is filed under the name uncultured bacterium. RNAcentral describes it as "partial 16S ribosomal RNA". It matches the Rfam family "Bacterial small subunit ribosomal RNA", at positions 509 to 807 of the family's 1533-position model. The record is from RNAcentral.
CAGCCGCCGCGGGAAUACGUAGGGUGCAAGCGUUAAUCGGAAUUACUGGGCGUAAAGCGUGCGCAGGCGGUUAUAUAAGACAGAUGUUAAAUCCCCGGGCUCAACCUGGGAACUGCAUUUGUGACUGUAUAGCUAGAGUACGGCAGAGGGGGAUGGAAUUCCGCGUGUAGCAGUGAAAUGCGUAGAUAUGCGGAGGAACACCGAUGGCGAAGGCAAUCCCCUGGGCCUGUACUGACGCUCAUGCACGAAAGCGUGGGGAGCAAACAGGAUUAGAUACCCGAGUAGUCCCUGUCUCUUAUAC